Molecule: ribosomal RNA, 253 nt
Filed under: uncultured bacterium
Lineage: Bacteria
Description: partial 16S ribosomal RNA
Rfam family: Bacterial small subunit ribosomal RNA
Source: RNAcentral
UACGAAGGGGGCUAGCGUUGCUCGGAAUGACUGGGCGUAAAGGGCGCGUAGGCGGAUGGCACAGUCAGAUGUGAAAUUCCCGGGCUUAACCUGGGGGCUGCAUUUGAUACGUGUGAUCUAGAGUGAGGAAGAGGGUCGUGGAAUUCCCAGUGUAGAGGUGAAAUUCGUAGAUAUUGGGAAGAACACCGGUGGCGAAGGCGGCGACCUGGACAAGUACUGACACUCAACUACGAAAGCGUGGGGAGCAAACAGG